Small nuclear RNA from Nycticebus coucang (slow loris), 105 nucleotides. The record is from RefSeq and is a predicted model, not a curated record. Lineage: Eukaryota; Metazoa; Chordata; Mammalia; Primates; Lorisidae.
AUGCUUACUUUGGCAGCACAUGUGCUGGAAUUGGAAUGAUACAGAGAAGAUUAGCAUAGCCCCUGCACAAGGAUGAUGCAAGUUUGUGAAGUAUUUCGUAUUUAA